This 588-nucleotide ribosomal RNA is filed under the name Arthrobacter agilis. RNAcentral's name for it is "bacterial SSU rRNA". It matches the Rfam family "Bacterial small subunit ribosomal RNA", at positions 372 to 959 of the family's 1533-position model. Lineage: Bacteria; Bacillati; Actinomycetota; Actinomycetes; Micrococcales; Micrococcaceae. The record is from RNAcentral.
UGGGCGCAAGCCUGAUGCAGCGACGCCGCGUGAGGGAUGAAGGCCUUCGGGUUGUAAACCUCUUUCAGUAGGGAAGAAGCCGGCUUUUUGGGUUGGUGACGGUACCUGCAGAAGAAGCGCCGGCUAACUACGUGCCAGCAGCCGCGGUAAUACGUAGGGCGCAAGCGUUAUCCGGAAUUAUUGGGCGUAAAGAGCUCGUAGGCGGUUUGUCGCGUCUGCCGUGAAAGUCCGGGGCUUAACCCCGGAUCUGCGGUGGGUACGGGCAGACUAGAGUGCAGUAGGGGAGACUGGAAUUCCUGGUGUAGCGGUGAAAUGCGCAGAUAUCAGGAGGAACACCGAUGGCGAAGGCAGGUCUCUGGGCUGUAACUGACGCUGAGGAGCGAAAGCAUGGGGAGCGAACAGGAUUAGAUACCCUGGUAGUCCAUGCCGUAAACGUUGGGCACUAGGUGUGGGGGACAUUCCACGUUUUCCGCGCCGUAGCUAACGCAUUAAGUGCCCCGCCUGGGGAGUACGGCCGCAAGGCUAAAACUCAAAGGAAUUGACGGGGGCCCGCACAAGCGGCGGAGCAUGCGGAUUAAUUCGAUGCAA